CAGCAGCCGCGGUAAUACGGAGGGUGCGAGCGUUAAUCGGAAUUACUGGGCGUAAAGCGUACGCAGGCGGUUUGUUAAGUCAGAUGUGAAAUCCCCGAGCUUAACUCGGGAACUGCAUUUGAAACUGGCAGGCUAGAGUCUCGUAGAGGGGGGUAGAAUUCCAGGUGUAGCGGUGAAAUGCGUAGAGAUCUGGAGGAAUACCGGUGGCGAAGGCGGCCCCCUGGACGAAGACUGACGCUCAGGUACGAAAGCGUGGGGAGCAAACAGGAUUAGAUACCCCGGUAGUCCCUGUCUCUUAUAC
RNAcentral lists this ribosomal RNA (301 nucleotides) under uncultured bacterium. Its description in RNAcentral is "partial 16S ribosomal RNA". It matches the Rfam family "Bacterial small subunit ribosomal RNA", at positions 509 to 807 of the family's 1533-position model. The record is from RNAcentral.